AUUGAACGCUGGCGGCAGGCCUAACACAUGCAAGUCGAACGAGUGGCGGACGGGUGAGUAAUGUCUGGGAAACUGCCUGAUGGAGGGGGAUCACUACUGGAAACGGUAGCUAAUACCGCAUCCCAUCAGCUGUGCCCAUAUGGGUGGAGCGGGUAGGUGGGGUAACGGCUCACCUAGGCGACGAUCCCUAGGUGGUCUGAGAGGAGGUCCAGACACACGGGAACUGAGGCACGUUGAAGACUCCGACGGGAGGCAGCAGUAGGGAAUAUUGCACAAGGGGCACAAUCCUGAUGCAGCCAUGCCGCGUGUGUGAAGAAGGCCUUCGGGUUGUAAAGCACUUUCAGCGGGGAGGCGUUAACCGCAGAAGAAGCACCGGCUAACUCCGUGCCAGCCGCCGCGGUAAUAC
This 406-nucleotide ribosomal RNA is filed under the name uncultured bacterium. Its description in RNAcentral is "partial 16S ribosomal RNA". It matches the Rfam family "Bacterial small subunit ribosomal RNA", at positions 29 to 526 of the family's 1533-position model. The record is from RNAcentral.